ACGCGUUGGGAGCUCUCCCAUAUGGUCGACCUGCAGGCGGCCGCGAAUUCACUAGUGAUUCGUAUUACCGCGGCUGCUGGCACGUAGUUAGCCGGUGCUUCUUAUUCCGGUACCGUCAUCCACACAGGGUAUUAACCCAUGCGUUUUCUUCCCGGCUGAAAGAGCUUUACAACCCGAAGGCCUUCUUCACUCACGCGGCAUGGCUGGAUCAGGCUUGCGCCCGUUGUCCAAAAUUCCCCACUGCUGCCUCCCGUAGGAGUCUGGACCGUGUCUCAGUUCCAGUGUGGCGGAUCAUCCUCUCAGACCCGCUACAGAUCGUCGCCUUGGUGAGCCUUUACCUCACCAACUAGCUAAUCUGAUAUCAGCCGCUCAAUCAGCGCAAGGUCUUGCGAUCCCCUGCUUUCCUGCUCACAGAAUAUGCGGUAUUAGCGUAACUUUCGCUACGUUAUCCCCCACUGAAAGGUACGUUCCGAUACAUUACUCACCCGUUCGCCACUCGCCACCAGGAUUGCUCCCGUGCUGCCGUUCGACUUGCAUGUGUAAGGCAUGCCCCCAGCGUUCAAUCUGAGCCAUGAUCAAACUCUAAUCGAAUUCCCGCGGCCGCCAUGGCGGCCGGGAGCAUGCG
RNAcentral lists this ribosomal RNA (625 nucleotides) under uncultured beta proteobacterium. Its description in RNAcentral is "partial 16S ribosomal RNA". The record is from RNAcentral. Lineage: Bacteria; Pseudomonadati; Pseudomonadota; Betaproteobacteria.